CUUACCAGGUCAAGACAUGGGCGUGAUUGACAGGCUAAUGACUUUUCUCGAUUCCAUGGAUGGUGGUGCAUGGUCGCACUUAGUUGGUGCAGUGAUUUGUCAGGUUUAUUCCGGUAACGAACGAGACCUCGGCCUUGUAAAUAGCUAUGCUGCUUACAGGGACAUUGGCGGCUACGCCAAGGAAGCUCGAGGCAAUUGCAGAUCUGGAAUGCCCUUAGAUGUCCUGGGUUGCACGCGUGCUACAAUGACGCCACGAACGAGCUUGCGUGAUGAAAGUUACGCAUAAUCAGCAGUCGGCGUCUUAAGGGAUAGUCUCUUGUAACUGUGGGACUCCAACUAGGAAUGUCUCGUAAGCACAAGUCAACAUCUUGUGUUGAUUACGUCCCUGCUCUUUGUACACACCGCCCGUCGCUCCUACCGAUCGAGUGUUUAGGUGAAUUUGAUGGACGUAAGGAAGUCAAAUAAACCUGAGCACUUAGAGGAAGGAGAAGUCGACAUUC
Molecule: ribosomal RNA, 500 nt
Filed under: uncultured Myrionecta
Lineage: Eukaryota; Ciliophora; Litostomatea; Cyclotrichida; Mesodiniidae
Description: bacterial SSU rRNA
Rfam family: Eukaryotic small subunit ribosomal RNA
Source: RNAcentral